This 388-nucleotide ribosomal RNA is filed under the name uncultured bacterium. RNAcentral describes it as "bacterial SSU rRNA". It matches the Rfam family "Bacterial small subunit ribosomal RNA", at positions 100 to 524 of the family's 1533-position model. The record is from RNAcentral.
GACGGGUGAGUAACGCGUGGGAAUCUAUCCUUUGCUACGGAACAACUCCGGGAAACUGGAGCUAAUACCGUAUGUGCCCUUCGGGGGAAAGUUUUAACGGCAAAGGGUGAGCCCGCGUCCGAUUAGCUAGUUGGUGGGGUAAAGGCCCACCAAGGCGACGAUCCUUAGCUGGUCUGAGAGGAUGAUCAGCCACACUGGGACUGAGACACGGCCCAGACUCCUACGGGAGGCAGCAGUGGGGAAUAUUGGACAAUGGGCGAAAGCCUGAUCCAGCAAUGCCGCGUGAGUGAUGAAGGCCUUAGGGUUGUAAAGCUCUUUUACCCGGGAUGAUAAUGACAGUACCGGGAGAAUAAGCUCCGGCUAACUCCGUGCCAGCAGCCGCGGUAAU